RNAcentral lists this ribosomal RNA (2105 nucleotides) under Staphylococcus aureus. Its description in RNAcentral is "bacterial SSU rRNA". The stretch from base 1116 to 2105 matches the Rfam family "Bacterial small subunit ribosomal RNA". Lineage: Bacteria; Bacillati; Bacillota; Bacilli; Caryophanales; Staphylococcaceae. The record is from RNAcentral.
AAAGUUGUUCUCAGUUCGGAUUGUAGUCUGCAACUCGACUACAUGAAGCUGGAAUCGCUAGUAAUCGUAGAUCAGCAUGCUACGGUGAAUACGUUCCCGGGUCUUGUACACACCGCCCGUCACACCACGAGAGUUUGUAACACCCGAAGCCGGUGGAGUAACCUUUUAGGAGCUAGCCGUCGAAGGUGGGACAAAUGAUUGGGGUGAAGUCGUAACAAGGUAGCCGUAUCGGAAGGUGCGGCUGGAUCACCUCCUUUCUAAGGAUAUAUUCGGAACAUCUUCUUCAGAAGAUGCGGAAUAACGUGACAUAUUGUAUUCAGUUUUGAAUGUUUAUUUAACAUUCAAAUAUUUUUUGGUUAAAGUGAUAUUGCUUAUGAAAAUAAAGCAGUAUGCGAGCGCUUGACUAAAAAGAAAUUGUACAUUGAAAACUAGAUAAGUAAGUAAAAUAUAGAUUUUACCAAGCAAAACCGAGUGAAUAAAGAGUUUUAAAUAAGCUUGAAUUCAUAAGAAAUAAUCGCUAGUGUUCGAAAGAACACUCACAAGAUUAAUAACGCGUUUAAAUCUUUUUAUAAAAGAACGUAACUUCAUGUUAACGUUUGACUUAUAAAAAUGGUGGAAACAUAGAUUAAGUUAUUAAGGGCGCACGGUGGAUGCCUUGGCACUAGAAGCCGAUGAAGGACGUUACUAACGACGAUAUGCUUUGGGGAGCUGUAAGUAAGCUUUGAUCCAGAGAUUUCCGAAUGGGGAAACCCAGCAUGAGUUAUGUCAUGUUAUCGAUAUGUGAAUACAUAGCAUAUCAGAAGGCACACCCGGAGAACUGAAACAUCUUAGUACCCGGAGGAAGAGAAAGAAAAUUCGAUUCCCUUAGUAGCGGCGAGCGAAACGGGAAGAGCCCAAACCAACAAGCUUGCUUGUUGGGGUUGUAGGACACUCUAUACGGAGUUACAAAGGACGACAUUAGACGAAUCAUCUGGAAAGAUGAAUCAAAGAAGGUAAUAAUCCUGUAGUCGAAAAUGUUGUCUCUCUUGAGUGGAUCCUGAGUACGACGGAGCACGUGAAAUUCCGUCGGAAUCUGGGAGGACCAUCUCCUAAGGCUAAAUACUCUCUAGUGACCGAUAGUGAACCAGUACCGUGAGGGAAAGGUGAAAAGCACCCCGGAAGGGGAGUGAAAUAGAACCUGAAACCGUGUGCUUACAAGUAGUCAGAGCCCGUUAAUGGGUGAUGGCGUGCCUUUUGUAGAAUGAACCGGCNAGCGGUGAAAUGCGCAGAGAUAUGGAGGAACACCAGUGGCGAAGGCGACUUUCUGGUCUGUAACUGACGCUGAUGUGCGAAAGCGUGGGGAUCAAACAGGAUUAGAUACCCUGGUAGUCCACGCCGUAAACGAUGAGUGCUAAGUGUUAGGGGGUUUCCGCCCCUUAGUGCUGCAGCUAACGCAUUAAGCACUCCGCCUGGGGAGUACGACCGCAAGGUUGAAACUCAAAGGAAUUGACGGGGACCCGCACAAGCGGUGGAGCAUGUGGUUUAAUUCGAAGCAACGCGAAGAACCUUACCAAAUCUUGACAUCCUUUGACAACUCUAGAGAUAAAGCUUUCCCCUUCGGGGGACAAAGUGACAGGUGGUGCAUGGUUGUCGUCAGCUCGUGUCGUGAGAUGUUGGGUUAAGUCCCGCAACGAGCGCAACCCUUAAGCUUAGUUGCCAUCAUUAAGUUGGGCACCCUAAGUUGACUGCCGGUGACAAACCGGAGGAAGGUGGGGAUGACGUCAAAUCAUCAUGCCCCUUAUGAUUUGGGCUACACACGUGCUACAAUGGACAAUACAAAGGGCAGCGAAACCGCGAGGUCAAGCAAAUCCCAUAAAGUUGUUCUCAGUUCGGAUUGUAGUCUGCAACUCGACUACAUGAAGCUGGAAUCGCUAGUAAUCGUAGAUCAGCAUGCUACGGUGAAUACGUUCCCGGGUCUUGUACACACCGCCCGUCACACCACGAGAGUUUGUAACACCCGAAGCCGGUGGAGUAACCUUUUAGGAGCUAGCCGUCGAAGGUGGGACAAAUGAUUGGGGUGAAGUCGUAACAAGGUAGCCGUAUCGGAAGGUGCGGCUGGAUCACCU